RNAcentral lists this ribosomal RNA (392 nucleotides) under Faecalibacterium prausnitzii. RNAcentral describes it as "bacterial SSU rRNA". It matches the Rfam family "Bacterial small subunit ribosomal RNA", at positions 1 to 388 of the family's 1533-position model. The record is from RNAcentral. Lineage: Bacteria; Bacillati; Bacillota; Clostridia; Eubacteriales; Oscillospiraceae.
UUUAUAAAGAGUUUGAUCCUGGCUCAGGACGAACGCUGGCGGCGCGCCUAACACAUGCAAGUCGAACGAGCGAGAGGAGGUUUACUUUCUCAAGCGAGUGGCGAACGGGUGAGUAACGCGUGAGGAACCUGCCUCGAAGAGGGGGACAACAGUUGGAAACGACUGCUAAUACCGCAUAAGCCCACGACCCGGCAUCGGGUAGAGGGAAAAGGAGCAAUCCGCUUUGAGAUGGCCUCGCGUCCGAUUAGCUAGUUGGUGAGGUAAUGGCCCACCAAGGCGACGAUCGGUAGCCGGACUGAGAGGUUGAACGGCCACAUUGGGACUGAGACACGGCCCAGACUCCUACGGGAGGCAGCAGUGGGGAAUAUUGCACAAUGGGGGAAACCCUGAUG